GUUUUAUAUUUAAAUUGUGUGAAUUUAAUUUUUAUUAAAAAUUUUUAUUUUGUUAGUAUUUAUAGAAAUUAGUUACAUAUUUAGUUUGUACUGUAAAGGAUUUUAAUAAUACUUAAAGAAUUAUGUUAUUUUUAGUACCUUUAGUAUCAGGGUAAAUUAAUUAAUUAAAUUAUUUUAUUUUCCCGAAUUUGAAUGAUCAAGUUUUGUAUUAUAUAUUUGUGUUAAAAGGUUUUUUAAUACAUUAUUAGUAAUUAUAUGUUAGUCGUUUUCUGUUUAUCUGGUUAUUAGGGAAAUUAAAUUUAAUUUUGCACUUUUUAUAUUGAUUUUAUUUAAUAAUUUAUGUUAAGUGUUAAUUUAUUGGGGAUAAUCUCGGUAAAUAUGAAUUAUUACAUAAAAUAUACUUUUUAUUUUUUUACUUUUAAAUUUUGUAUUAAGUUUGUAUUAAAUUGGUUAAAUUGAAUAUAAUUUUUUUGUGUCUAUUUUUAUACUUAAUUUAUUAGGUUAAUUUUGAAUCUAAUUUAAUAAUGAUUUAAUUAGUAUAAUAAAUUAAUUAAGGAAAAUGAAUUCGACAAAUAUUAUUUCCAACUGUUUAUCAAAAACAUUUCUUUUUGUUUAUAUAAAAAGUAUCUUCUGCCCUAUGGUUUAUAUUCUAAAUGGCUGCAGUAUUUUGACUGUGCAAAGGUAGCAUAGUAAUUAGUUUUUUAAUUGAAAGCUUGUAUGAAUGGAUGUAUGAGAAAUAUAUUUUAUUUUUUUAAGAUAUUAAAAUUUAAAUUUAAAGUUAAAAUGCUUUAUUAGUUUAUUGGGACGAUAAGACCCUAUAGAACUUUAUAUAAUUUUGUUUUUAUUAAGUUUUAUUUUAUUAACUUUUUAAAAUUAUUUUAUAUUUUGCUGGGGUGGCAAUUAAAUAAAUUAACUUUAGUUUUAAUAUUCAUUUUUUUAUGUAAUUUUAGAUCUCAAUAUAAAUUAGGGAUAAUAAGAUGAAGUUACCUUAGGGAUAACAGCGUAAUUUUAAUGGGGAGUUCAUAUCUAUAUUGUAUUUUGCGACCUCGAUGUUGAAUUAAGAAAAUUUUAAGAAGCAGUAUUCUUAAUAAUAAGUCUGUUCGACUUUUAAAUUCUUACAUGAUUUGAGUUCAAACCGGUGUGAGCCAGGUUGGUUUCUAUCUGAUAAAUAUUUUUUAUACUUAGUACGAAAGGACCAGUAUAAAUUACUUACGGGUAAACUAUUUUUUAAU
RNAcentral lists this ribosomal RNA (1232 nucleotides) under Nesophrosyne sp. 58 GMB-2012. Its description in RNAcentral is "16S ribosomal RNA". Lineage: Eukaryota; Metazoa; Arthropoda; Insecta; Hemiptera; Cicadellidae. The record is from RNAcentral.